Molecule: small nuclear RNA, 105 nt
Organism: Hippopotamus amphibius kiboko
Lineage: Eukaryota; Metazoa; Chordata; Mammalia; Artiodactyla; Hippopotamidae
Source: RefSeq, a predicted model, not a curated record
CCACUUUGGUAGUGCAUAUAACAAAAAUUUGGAGUGAUAUAGACAAGAUUAACAUGGUUACAGCAUAAGGAUCAUACAGAAAUUCAUGAAGUGGUCCAUAUUUUU